This 520-nucleotide ribosomal RNA is filed under the name Scheffersomyces sp. BG090815.8.4.4.2.8. RNAcentral's name for it is "eukaryotic LSU rRNA". It matches the Rfam family "Eukaryotic large subunit ribosomal RNA", at positions 23 to 550 of the family's 3401-position model. Lineage: Eukaryota; Fungi; Ascomycota; Pichiomycetes; Serinales; Debaryomycetaceae. RNAcentral also lists the same sequence under 1 other name. The record is from RNAcentral.
ACCCGCUGAACUUAAGCAUAUCAAUAAGCGGAGGAAAAGAAACCAACAGGGAUUGUCUUAGUAACGGCGAGUGAAGCGACAAAAGCUCAAAUUUGAAAUCUGGCACCUUCGGUGUCCGAGUUGUAAUUUGAAGAAGGUAACUUUGGAGUUGGCUCUUGUCUAUGUUCCUUGGAACAGGACGUCACAGAGGGUGAGAAUCCCGUGCGAUGAGAUGUCCAACUCUAUGUAAAGUGCUUUCGAAGAGUCGAGUUGUUUGGGAAUGCAGCUCUAAGUGGGUGGUAAAUUCCAUCUAAAGCUAAAUAUUGGCGAGAGACCGAUAGCGAACAAGUACAGUGAUGGAAAGAUGAAAAGAACUUUGAAAAGAGAGUGAAAAAGUACGUGAAAUUGUUGAAAGGGAAGGGUUUGAGAUCAGACUUGGUAUUUUGUAUGUCUUGCUUUCGGGUGGGGCCUCUGCAGUUUACUGGGCCAGCAUCGGUUUGGACGGUAGGAUAAUGACAUUGGAAUGUGGCACUACUUCGGU